GAGUUUGAUCAUGGCUCAGGAUGAACGCUAGCGGCAGGCUUAACACAUGCAAGUCGAGGGGUAGCAGGGAGCUUGCUCCGCUGACGACCGGCGAACGGGUGCGUAACGCGUAUAGAAUCUACCUCUUACUAAGGGAUAGCCCAGAGAAAUUUGGAUUAAUAUCUUAUAGUAUACAGACCUGGCAUCAGGAUUGUAUUAAAGGUUACGGUAAGAGAUGACUAUGCGUCCUAUUAGCUAGAUGGUGUGGUAACGGCACACCAUGGCUACGAUAGGUAGGGGCCCUGAGAGGGGGAUCCCCCACACUGGUACUGAGACACGGACCAGACUCCUACGGGAGGCAGCAGUGAGGAAUAUUGGACAAUGGAGGCAACUCUGAUCCAGCCAUGCCGCGUGCAGGAAGACUGCCCUAUGGGUUGUAAACUGCUUUUAUACAGGAAGAAACACUCUCACGUGUGAGAGCUUGACGGUACUGUAAGAAUAAGGAUCGGCUAACUCCGUGCCAGCAGCCGCGGUAAUACGGAGGAUCCAAGCGUUAUCCGGAAUCAUUGGGUUUAAAGGGUCCGUAGGUGGAUGAUUAAGUCAGAGGUGAAAUCCUGCAGCUCAACUGUAGAAUUGCCUUUGAUACUGGUUGUCUUGAGUUAUUAUGAAGUAGUUAGAAUAUGUAGUGUAGCGGUGAAAUGCAUAGAUAUUACAUAGAAUACCAAUUGCGAAGGCAGAUUACUAAUAAUAUACUGACACUGAUGGACGAAAGCGUGGGGAGCGAACAGGAUUAGAUACCCUGGUAGUCCACGCCGUAAACGAUGGUCACUAGCUGUUCGGACUUCGGUUUGAGUGGCUAAGCGAAAGUGAUAAGUGACCCACCUGGGGGAGUACGUUCGCAAGAAUGAAACUCAAAGGAAUUUGACGGGGGCCCGCACAAGCGGUGGAGCAUGGUGGUUUAAUUCGAUGAAUACGCGAGGACCUUACCAGGCUUAAUGUAGAUUGACAGGUUUAGAAAUAGACUUUUCUUCGAACAAUUACAAGGUGCCUGCAUGAUGGUCGUCAGCUCGUGCGGUGAGGUGUCAGUAGUCUAUAAAGCGGAUCCAGCAACUUGCCGCCGUACUAUGGAUCGACUGUACAGCCUGGGCGUAUCAUGUCCAUGCUGAUUUCCUGUGCGUGGAAAAUG
This 1165-nucleotide ribosomal RNA is filed under the name uncultured marine bacterium. Its description in RNAcentral is "bacterial SSU rRNA". It matches the Rfam family "Bacterial small subunit ribosomal RNA", at positions 9 to 1164 of the family's 1533-position model. The record is from RNAcentral.